Molecule: ribosomal RNA, 574 nt
Filed under: Kordyana sp.
Lineage: Eukaryota; Fungi; Basidiomycota; Exobasidiomycetes; Exobasidiales; Brachybasidiaceae
Description: partial large subunit ribosomal RNA
Rfam family: Eukaryotic large subunit ribosomal RNA
Source: RNAcentral
GGGAAGAGCUCAAAUUUGAAAGCUUGCAGCAAUGCACGCGUUGUAAUCUCGAGAAGUGUUUUCCGUGCUGGACCAUGGACAAGUUCCUUGGAAUAGGAUGUCAUAGAGGGUGAGAACCCCGUCUUUGCCAUGGACGCCCAGUGCUUUGUGAUACACUUUCGAAGAGUCGAGUUGUUUGGGAAUGCAGCUCAAAAUGGGUGGUAAAUUCCAUCUAAAGCUAAAUAUUGGGGAGAGACCGAUAGCAAACAAGUACCGUGAGGGAAAGAUGAAAAGCACUUUGGAAAGAGAGUUAAACAGUACGUGAAAUUGUCAAAAGGGAAGCGCUUCAAGUCAGACGUGUAACGCGGUAUUCAGCCUCACGGCGUUUUUACCGCGCUACUGGCCAGCAUCGAUUUUGGACGACGGAUAAGGGUGCGGGGAACGUGGCACCUUCGGGUGUGUUAUAGCCCUGCACUGGAUACGUCGCCUGGGAUCGAGGAACGCAGCGCACCCGCAAGGGCAAGUCUUCGGACAUUCUUGCGCUUAGGAUGCUGGCGUAAUGGCUUGAAGCGGCCCGUCUUGAACACGGGACCAA